CACGGGGGGAGCAAGCGUUGUUCGGAAUCACUGGGCGUAAAGGGCGUGCAGGCGGUCGAGUAAGUGGAAUGUGAAAUGCCCCGGCUCACCCGGGGACCUGCAUUCCAAACUGCUUGGCUCGAGUAUGGGAGAGGAUGAGGGAAUUCCUGGUGUAGCGGUGAAAUGCGUAGAUAUCAGGAGGAACACCUGCGGCGAAGGCGGGUUGCUGGGCCGACACUGACGCUGAAGCGCGAAAGCUAGGGGAGCGAACGGG
RNAcentral lists this ribosomal RNA (253 nucleotides) under uncultured prokaryote. Its description in RNAcentral is "partial 16S ribosomal RNA". It matches the Rfam family "Bacterial small subunit ribosomal RNA", at positions 524 to 776 of the family's 1533-position model. The record is from RNAcentral.